This 384-nucleotide ribosomal RNA is filed under the name Triticum aestivum (bread wheat). RNAcentral's name for it is "partial small subunit ribosomal RNA". Lineage: Eukaryota; Viridiplantae; Streptophyta; Magnoliopsida; Poales; Poaceae. The record is from RNAcentral.
AUGGCUCUUAGGUUUGGCUUUAUUCUUGCACUAAAGACGGGAUGUAAUCGUCUUGUUAUUAACUCGGAUAAUAUGAAAGUCAUUGACACAAUGAAGAAUGAAGGACAACCUGCGGGAGCGGCGGCAGUCUAUGAUGAUUGCUACUUCAUGGCAUGUGAUUUUCCUUUGACUAGAUUUAAACAUUGUAAUAGGGUAGCUAAUAAGGUUGCUCAUAAACUUGCUAGGCUAGUGAAAUUUCUGCAACUAGGGAUUGGCUUGAGAAGCCUAUGGAGAAUAUUGUACCUCUUCUUAUUUUUUCAAAAAGGAGGUUUGCCCCGUCCUCUGCAUCAAAACGAUGCAUACGGCCAUAUUAUUGAUAAUCAAAAGGUCCAACAUAAGUCUUGA